UACGUAGGGAGCAAGCGUUGUCCGGAAUCAUUGGGCGUAAAGAGCUCGUAGGCGGCUUGGUAAGUCGGAUGUGAAACCUCCAGGCUCAACCUGGAGUCGCCAUCCGAUACUGCCAUAGCUAGAGUCCGGUAGGGGCCCACGGAACUCCUGGUGUAGCGGUGAAGUGCGCAGAUAUCGGGAAGAACACCGGUGGCGAAGGCGGUGGGCUGGGCCGGCACUGACGCUGAGGAGCGAAAGCGUGGGGAGCGAACAGG
Molecule: ribosomal RNA, 254 nt
Filed under: uncultured bacterium
Lineage: Bacteria
Description: partial 16S ribosomal RNA
Rfam family: Bacterial small subunit ribosomal RNA
Source: RNAcentral